AAUUACAUAGUUGACUUACCAUAAUAAACUAUUGUCUAUAUCUUAUAUAAAAAAAAUCAGAUCAUCCAUGGACGUAUGUUCUUUCUCCCAAAUUAAUCUAAUAUACUAUUCUCUCAUAUCAGCUCUAAUUUGAGCAUCGAAGGGUCCUUACCGGGUUUAUACCCAGUGGACUUCUGACCCAUUUAUUUUUUGUUUUGCAGAUCCAUACCCACAAAAAAUUUUCAUGGACCACAACAUUAUGUAUUCUGAGCAAUAAGGGCCGGAUUGAUUUAAACUAUUGCAUAGUUCUAUUUUCACUUUGCACAAUUCAAGGUGACAAGAGCAAGCUUUAUGUCCAAACAAAGACACAAACCAUAGAAGAUGAGAUUAGCUGUGAAAAUUCAAAAAAAUCUAUCUCUGCUGCAUUAUCAUGUAUUAAUAGUUCAGGGCCGGGCAUCAAAAGGUAAACCAAUAACUAUAUCCUAUUGAUCAGGAAUGGGAAGAACCAUCACUGCUAAAAAAAUUAUAGGAAAGUAACAGUUUAGUGUGACUUAUAUAUGUAAACCACAGCAGUAAGGUUACUAAUUCCUAACAGUUAUGAUCAAAUCCAUAAAAAAUGUUUCAAUA
This 606-nucleotide unclassified non-coding RNA is filed under the name Hevea brasiliensis (rubber tree). The record is from RNAcentral. Lineage: Eukaryota; Viridiplantae; Streptophyta; Magnoliopsida; Malpighiales; Euphorbiaceae.